This is a non-coding RNA of Lepisosteus oculatus (spotted gar), 840 nucleotides long. The record is from RefSeq and is a predicted model, not a curated record. Lineage: Eukaryota; Metazoa; Chordata; Actinopteri; Semionotiformes; Lepisosteidae.
GAUCAGGAGGCGAAACUUUUCCGCCAGAAUUAACCUCUGCAGCUCCGACCUCGAACUGCAAUAAGAAAAACUCGUUUCUUUCUCCGAGGAUUGAUUCCAGAGUCCAGUUACCACUCAGGAAUCCCCCACAGUCUCCGACGCUGUUCCCGAGAAAGUGCCUGGAAGAAACCUAUUACUUGUUUCAUGAUGACUUAUUUCUUAUCCCCCUCCUGCUAUCCCUACAUCCAGCUCCCUGCUGCCUCCUGCCGCUCCUCCCUCUACUGAGGACCGAGACUGUGAAGAGUCAGAAUCUGGCUCUGGGAUUGACAGGGUGAGUUGGUUUAGAUCUCUGUACCCUGACAUCACACUGACACUCCUUCACUACAGCUGCAGCAGUGUCACAGUCUAGAUCUCUUCACACUUUCCUUUACUUCUUCCUCUGCCACUAAUGUUCCUGAUCUUUUCAAAUAAAGGCUGAUAAUUCACAGUGAUCUCUGACCACCACAGGAAUCCUGAGUGUCUUCAGCUCCUCCUCUGAGUUCAGAUGCUGAUGGCAUAUCCACUCCCUAACCCCACUACUAACCCCACUCCUCACUCUUCUACAUGUGAUCAUCAUCCCAGCUCAGAGGAGGAGCUGAAGACACACAGGAUUCCUGUGAUGGUCAGAUAGCAGCAGUGUCACAGCCUAGAUCUCUUCAUACUUUAUGUACCAUUUAUGUACGAUUCCUAACAGCCUUUUUUCCUACUGCUUGUUUUGUUAGUAAGAUGUCGGCGUUAACACUGUCAUAUGUAUUUAAAUUUGUAUUUAAAUCAGUUGACCAAUCACUUGUAUUUUAAUGAGUUCUGGUUUAAUGAUUUCUG